This 107-nucleotide small nuclear RNA is filed under the name Prolemur simus (greater bamboo lemur). The record is from RNAcentral. Lineage: Eukaryota; Metazoa; Chordata; Mammalia; Primates; Lemuridae.
GUGCUUGCUUUGGCAGCACAUAUACUAAAAUUGGAACAGUACAGGGAAGAUUAGCAUGGCCCCUGCACAAGGAUGACACACAAAUUUGUGAAGCGUUCCAUAUUUAA